ACUACUAGGAGGAUGCUGGGAAACUCCAAUUCUACUGAACAAGACCUUUAUCCUGCUUCUUUUGAUACACUGAGGGCAAUAGACGAGGCCAUCAGAUUAAACAACCUCCGCUUAACAAGUUUACCAGCACAACCUCGUACACC
Molecule: long non-coding RNA, 143 nt
Organism: Vitis riparia (riverbank grape)
Lineage: Eukaryota; Viridiplantae; Streptophyta; Magnoliopsida; Vitales; Vitaceae
Exons: 3
Source: RefSeq, a predicted model, not a curated record